GAGGGUAUAGCUCAGUGAUAGAGUGUGUGCUUAGCAUGCGUGAGGUCCUGGGUUCAAACCCUAGUAUCUCCA
RNAcentral lists this transfer RNA (72 nucleotides) under Camelus bactrianus (Bactrian camel). It matches the Rfam family "tRNA". From Rfam's summary of the family: Transfer RNA (tRNA) molecules are approximately 80 nucleotides in length. Their secondary structure includes four short double-helical elements and three loops (D, anti-codon, and T loops). RNAcentral also lists the same sequence under 2 other names. Lineage: Eukaryota; Metazoa; Chordata; Mammalia; Artiodactyla; Camelidae. The record is from Rfam by way of RNAcentral.